UAUCUCAGUCUCUCUGUGUAUGUCAGUAAACCAGUUUUGUGUAAACUAAACAAAAGGAUACGUCUUCUAUUAAACCUCGAGACGAGUGGAAAUGUCUGCCAUCUCACUUACGGUGUUAGUACUUGUGUCGAUCCUGGUAGUGGAGAAGGCAGCCUCUUGUUAUCCCCCUUACGGACGGACAAAUGGAUGCAGCAUCCCUUUAGGUUUAAAUUACUUCUACAAACGGACUUUCAGACCAGACUGCAACAAACACGAUGUAUGCUAUGCCUGUGGUGCAAGAUUUAGACGAAACAGAAGCUUCUGCGACCGUGUAUUUUACAACGACAUGUUAACACGCUGCAACAUAGACCCAAACGUGAGGUUCACUCGUUUUUGUCGUGAUAUUGCUUUAAAGUAUUAUCUUGGCGUUCGAGUAGGCGGCAGUUUACACUACGCAAACCCGUCUAAUUACUGGUGCGGAGAGAGUUGGGUCCAAAGCUGCAUAUGAGAACAUUUUUUAUAUUUAACUUAAUUCUGAAGAUAAUAAAUGUCCUUAAUUUUCACCACAAAUUCUCAGACACUAAUCAGAAACCAAUACGCCAUGUAAUUCAAACAAAAAAAUGUUUAUUUUUGUGAUUUUCGCAGCACUUGAUAAAGAUAACUGAUAAAUAUGGCUUAUGUACUUGCCUUCUAACUUUGCUAUUAAUGCCUGCAGUUCCUUA
Long non-coding RNA from Mercenaria mercenaria, 701 nucleotides. RefSeq lists it as uncharacterized. The transcript is spliced from 3 exons. The record is from RefSeq and is a predicted model, not a curated record. NCBI's taxonomy places the organism in Eukaryota, Metazoa, Mollusca, Bivalvia, Venerida, Veneridae.